Molecule: ribosomal RNA, 218 nt
Filed under: uncultured bacterium
Lineage: Bacteria
Description: partial 16S ribosomal RNA
Source: RNAcentral
GAUGAACGCUGGCGGCGUGCCUAAUACAUGCAAGUCGAGCGGUAACAUGUUUCUCACCGAGGUUCGAAGACAAUGGUCAAGUAGCAAUAUUCAAUACUCAAUGAAUGGUCAAUGCAGCUGAUGCAUUGAAUGAUUAAAUCAUUAAUACAUUCAUUGAAAAUUGACACUUGAACAUUGAGCAUUUUCGAUCUUUAGUGAGAAGUGAUGACGAGCGGCGA